This 496-nucleotide ribosomal RNA is filed under the name uncultured bacterium. RNAcentral's name for it is "partial 16S ribosomal RNA". It matches the Rfam family "Bacterial small subunit ribosomal RNA", at positions 28 to 506 of the family's 1533-position model. The record is from RNAcentral.
GAUGAACGCUGGCGGCGUGCCUAAUACAUGCAAGUCGAGCGAACAGAUGAGGAGCUUGCUCCUCUGACGUUAGCGGCGGACGGGUGAGUAACACGUGGAUAACCUACCUAUAAGACUGGGAUAACUUCGGGAAACCGGAGCUAAUACCGGAUAAUAUAUUGAACCGCAUGGUUCAAUAGUGAAAGACGGUUUUGCUGUCACUUAUAGAUGGAUCCGCGCCGCAUUAGCUAGUUGGUAAGGUAACGGCUUACCAAGGCAACGAUGCGUAGCCGACCUGAGAGGGUGAUCGGCCACACUGGAACUGAGACACGGUCCAGACUCCUACGAGAGGCAGCAAUAGGGAAUCUUCCGCAAUGGGCGAAAGCCUGACGGAGCAACGCCGCGUGAGUGAUGAAGGUCUUCGGAUCGUAAAACACUGUUAUUAGGGAAGAACAAAUGUGUAAGUAACUAUGCACGUCUUGACGGUACCUAAUCAGAAAGCCACGGCUAACUACGU